This 440-nucleotide ribosomal RNA is filed under the name uncultured bacterium. RNAcentral describes it as "partial 16S ribosomal RNA". It matches the Rfam family "Bacterial small subunit ribosomal RNA", at positions 338 to 795 of the family's 1533-position model. The record is from RNAcentral.
UCUACGGGAGGCAGCAGUAGGGAAUAUUGCUCAAUGGGGGAAACCCUGAAGCAGCAACACCGCGUGGAGGAUGAAGGUUUUCGGAUUGUAAACCCCUUUUGUCAGAGAAGAUAAUGACGGUAUCCAACGAAUAAGCACCGGCGAACUCAGGGCCAGCAGCCGCGGUAAUACGGGGGGUGCAAGCGUUACUCGGAAUCUCUGGGCGUAAAGGGCGCGUAGACGGGAUAGCAAGUGAGAUGUGAAAUCCUAGGGCUUAACCACAGAACUGCAUUUGAAACUGUUAUUCUAGAGUGUGGGAGAGGUAGGUGGAAUUCUUGGUGUAGAGGUGAAAUGCGUAGAGAUCAGGAGGAAUACUGAUUGCGAAGGCGGCCUACUGGACCAUAACUGACGCUGAUGCGCGAAAGCGUGGGGAGCAAACAGGAUUAGAUACCCCUGUAGUC